GGUGAACGCUGGCGGUAUGCCUAAGACAUGCAAGUCGCACGAACUGUUUCGGCAGUUAGUGGCGGACGGGUGAGUAACACGUGGGUGAUCUGCCCUUUAGUUUGGGAAAACCAGGGGAAACCCUGGCUAAUCCCGGAUGUGGACGCUGGUUUUGGCUGGUGUCUAAAGCUUCGGCGCUAAAGGAUGAGCCCGCGGCCCAUCAGGUAGUUGGGGGGGUAACGGCCCACCAAGCCGACGACGGGUAGCUGGUCUGAGAGGACGACCAGCCACAGGGGUA
This 277-nucleotide ribosomal RNA is filed under the name uncultured bacterium. RNAcentral describes it as "partial 16S ribosomal RNA". It matches the Rfam family "Bacterial small subunit ribosomal RNA", at positions 28 to 318 of the family's 1533-position model. The record is from RNAcentral.